GAGUUCCCUCGGUUGUCUUAUUACUCUUGCUAGAACUUUAAGUAUUAUAUUGAAUAGAUAUGGAGAGAGUGGACAGCCUUGUCUUGUUCCUGAUUUUAACAGAAGAAAAUCAGU
Peromyscus maniculatus bairdii (prairie deer mouse) is the source of this 114-nucleotide non-coding RNA. NCBI's taxonomy places the organism in Eukaryota, Metazoa, Chordata, Mammalia, Rodentia, Cricetidae. The record is from RefSeq and is a predicted model, not a curated record.